GACGAACGCUGGCGGCGUGCUUAACACAUGCAAGUCGAGCGACGCUCUUCCUUCGGGGAGAUGACGGAGCGGCGAACGGGUGAGUAACACGUGGGCAACCUGCCCCUAGCUCUGGGACAACACCGGGAAACCGGUGCUAAUACCGGAUACGACAUCGAGCGGCAUCUCUCGAUGUGGAAAGUUUUUUCGGCUAGGGAUGGGCCCGCGGCCUAUCAGCUUGUUGGUGGGGUAAUGGCCCACCAAGGCGACGACGGGUAGCCGGCCUGAGAGGGCGACCGGCCACACUGGGACUGAGACACGGCCCAGACUCCUACGGGAGGCAGCAGUGGGGAAUAUUGCGCAAUGGGCGAAAGCCUGACGCAGCGACGCCGCGUGAGGGAGGACGGCCUUCGGGUUGGAAACCUCUUUCAGCAGGGACGAAUUCAGACGGUACCUGCAGAAGAAGCACCGGCCAACUACGUG
Molecule: ribosomal RNA, 462 nt
Filed under: uncultured bacterium
Lineage: Bacteria
Description: partial 16S ribosomal RNA
Rfam family: Bacterial small subunit ribosomal RNA
Source: RNAcentral